AUGUUUUUCAGGUGGUUCUACUAUUCUGGUGGUUCUUCUAUUCUAGGCGGAUCGACAAUCGGCUGCUUCAGAUCCAGAGUUUGGUGUUUGUGGCUGCUUUGUCCUUUUGCAAGUUUGUUUUUGGUGCUGAGUUGGUAUUAUGAGCUUUUGAUUAUCUGGUUGACUUCAUAUUUGUUAAGUUUUGCAGGUUUCAAGACUUUUGGUUUGCCUUUCUACGCUGACACUAACUUUAUAUCCACUUCAGUCUUCGUGAUUGAUGUGUGA
Vicia faba (fava bean) is the source of this 264-nucleotide non-coding RNA. NCBI's taxonomy places the organism in Eukaryota, Viridiplantae, Streptophyta, Magnoliopsida, Fabales, Fabaceae. The record is from the annotation of a GenBank genome assembly.